This 22-nucleotide transfer RNA is filed under the name Trimeresurus insularis (White-lipped island pitviper). Its description in RNAcentral is "partial tRNA-Leu". The record is from RNAcentral. Lineage: Eukaryota; Metazoa; Chordata; Lepidosauria; Squamata; Viperidae.
UCUAUCAAAGGAAAAAAGCUCU